CUCUGAGCACUGAAAAACUGAAGGGAAAUUCCCUGCCCCGGAUUUUUCUGUUAGAGAAACUUUUUCAGUUGCGCCCAGAGGCCGAUGCUGAGCUGUGGCCACCAGGACGGGGGCAGGAGGGCCCCCCACCACUGUGCGAUGGAAAUGGGUGAAGUAUUCCUCCAGCUGUGCCAGGAGGUGGCCAGGUUGCGGGAGCUGUGCUCCAGGCAGAGCGAGCUGCUGCAGAAACUGAGCGCCAGGAAGGGCCCCGUUGUGGACAUCCCCAUGUCACUGCCCAUCCAGUGCACAGAGGACGCUUGGACAGAGGGAGGGGAGCAGCCAGCAGCCAGCCCCCAGGUGCACCCCAAGGCCCCGCAGGGCUCUGCCCACCCUCUGGCUCCACCAAAUGCUGCCC
This 394-nucleotide long non-coding RNA is filed under the name Chrysolophus pictus (golden pheasant). RNAcentral's name for it is "lncRNA (ENSCPIG00010012205.1)". The record is from RNAcentral. Lineage: Eukaryota; Metazoa; Chordata; Aves; Galliformes; Phasianidae.